UAAGCGACUAAGCGUACACGGUGGAUGCCUAGGCAGUCAGAGGCGAUGAAGGGCGUGCUAAUCUGCGAAAAGCGUCGGUAAGCUGAUAUGAAGCGUUAUAACCGACGAUACCCGAAUGGGGAAACCCAGUGCAAUACGUUGCACUAUCGUUAGAUGAAUACAUAGUCUAACGAGGCGAACCGGGGGAACUGAAACAUCUAAGUACCCCGAGGAAAAGAAAUCAACCGAGAUUCCCCCAGUAGCGGCGAGCGAACGGGGAGGAGCCCAGAGUCUGAAUCAGUUUGUGUGUUAGUGGAAGCGUCUGGAAAGUCGCACGGUACAGGGUGAUAGUCCCGUACACCAAAAUGCACAGGCUGUGAACUCGAUGAGUAGGGCGGGACACGUGACAUCCUGUCUGAAUAUGGGGGGACCAUCCUCCAAGGCUAAAUACUCCUGACUGACCGAUAGUGAACCAGUACCGUGAGGGAAAGGCGAAAAGAACCCCGGCGAGGGGAGUGAAAUAGAACCUGAAACCGUGUACGUACAAGCAGUGGGAGCACCUUCGUGGUGUGACUGCGUACCUUUUGUAUAAUGGGUCAGCGACUUAUAUUUUGUAGCAAGGUUAACCGAAUAGGGGAGCCGUAGGGAAACCGAGUCUUAACUGGGCGUCUAGUUGCAAGGUAUAGCCCCGAAACCCGGUGAUCUAGCCAUGGGCAGGUUGAAGGUUGGGUAACACUAACUGGAGGACCGAACCGACUAAUGUUGAAAAAUUAGCGGAUGACUUGUGGCUGGGGGUGAAAGGCCAAUCAAACCGGGAGAUAGCUGGUUCUCCCCGAAAGCUAUUUAGGUAGCGCCUCGUGAACUCAUCUUCGGGGGUAGAGCACUGUUUCGGCUAGGGGGCCAUCCCGGCUUACCAAACCGAUGCAAACUCCGAAUACCGAAGAAUGUUAUCACGGGAGACACACGGCGGGUGCUAACGUCCGUCGUGAAGAGGGAAACAACCCAGACCGCCAGCUAAGGUCCCAAAGUCAUGGUUAAGUGGGAAACGAUGUGGGAAGGCACAGACAGCCAGGAUGUUGGCUUAGAAGCAGCCAUCAUUUAAAGAAAGCGUAAUAGCUCACUGGUCGAGUCGGCCUGCGCGGAAGAUGUAACGGGGCUAAACCAUGCACCGAAGCUGCGGCAGCGACACUUAGGUGUUGUUGGGUAGGGGAGCGUUCUGUAAGCCGUUGAAGGUGACCUGUGAGGGUUGCUGGAGGUAUCAGAAGUGCGAAUGCUGACAUAAGUAACGAUAAUGCGGGUGAAAACCCCGCACGCCGGAAGACCAAGGGUUCCUGUCCAACGUUAAUCGGGGCAGGGUGAGUCGACCCCUAAGGCGAGGCUGAAAAGCGUAGUCGAUGGGAAACAGGUUAAUAUUCCUGUACUUGGUGUUACUGCGAAGGGGGGACGGAGAAGGCUAGGCUGGCCGGGCGACGGUUGUCCCGGUUUAAGCGUGUAGGGGGAGUGACCAGGUAAAUCCGGUUGCUUAUCAACCCUGAGGCGUGAUGACGAUGCACCACGGUGCAGAAGCAGUUGAUGCCAUGCUUCCAGGAAAAGCCUCUAAGCAUCAGGUAACAUUAAAUCGUACCCCAAACCGACACAGGUGGUCAGGUAGAGAAUACUCAGGCGCUUGAGAGAACUCGGGUGAAGGAACUAGGCAAAAUGGUGCCGUAACUUCGGGAGAAGGCACGCUGGCGUUAGGUGAAAGGACUAGCUCCUGGAGCUGAAGCCAGUCGCAGAUACCAGCUGGCUGCAACUGUUUAAUAAAAACACAGCACUGUGCAAACACGAAAGUGGACGUAUACGGUGUGACGCCUGCCCGGUGCUGGAAGGUUAAUUGAUGGGGUCAGCCGCAAGGCGAAGCUCUUGAUCGAAGCCCCAGUAAACGGCGGCCGUAACUAUAACGGUCCUAAGGUAGCGAAAUUCCUUGUCGGGUAAGUUCCGACCUGCACGAAUGGCGUAAUGAUGGCCAGGCUGUCUCCACCCGAGACUCAGUGAAAUUGAACUCGCUGUGAAGAUGCAGUGUACCCGCGGCAAGACGGAAAGACCCCGUGAACCUUUACUAUAGCUUGACACUGAACAUUGAGCCUUGAUGUGUAGGAUAGGUGGGAGGCCUUGAAGUGUGGACGCCAGUCUGCAUGGAGCCAACCUUGAAAUACCACCCUUUAAUGUUUGAUGUUCUAACUCGGCCCCAUGAUCUGGGGUGAGGACAGUGUCUGGUGGGUAGUUUGACUGGGGCGGUCUCCUCCCAAAGAGUAACGGAGGAGCACGAAGGUUAGCUAAUCACGGUCGGACAUCGUGAGGUUAGUGCAAAGGCAUAAGCUAGCUUGACUGCGAGAGUGACGGCUCGAGCAGGUACGAAAGUAGGUCUUAGUGAUCCGGUGGUUCUGAAUGGAAGGGCCAUCGCUCAACGGAUAAAAGGUACUCCGGGGAUAACAGGCUGAUACCGCCCAAGAGUUCAUAUCGACGGCGGUGUUUGGCACCUCGAUGUCGGCUCAUCACAUCCUGGGGCUGAAGUAGGUCCCAAGGGUAUGGCUGUUCGCCAUUUAAAGUGGUACGCGAGCUGGGUUUAGAACGUCGUGAGACAGUUCGGUCCCUAUCUGCCGUGGGCGUUGGAAGAUUGAGAGGGGCUGCUCCUAGUACGAGAGGACCGGAGUGGACGAAUCACUGGUGUUCGGGUUGUCAUGCCAAUGGCAUUGCCCGGUAGCUAAAUUCGGAAGAGAUAACCGCUGAAAGCAUCUAAGCGGGAAACUUGCCUCGAGAUGAGUCUUCCCUGGGGCUUAAAGCCCCCUGAAGGAACGUUAAAGACUAUGACGUUGAUAGGCUGGGUGUGUAAGUGCAGCGAUGUAUUGAGCUAACCAGUACUAAUGAUCCGUGAGGCUUAACCU
This 2903-nucleotide ribosomal RNA is filed under the name Yersinia pestis PY-25. RNAcentral's name for it is "bacterial LSU rRNA". It matches the Rfam family "Bacterial large subunit ribosomal RNA". Lineage: Bacteria; Pseudomonadati; Pseudomonadota; Gammaproteobacteria; Enterobacterales; Yersiniaceae. The record is from RNAcentral.